AAAACGUUUGUGCCCUAACGCCGAUCUCUCUCUCUUUCUCUCUCCACCCGUUUCUUCGCCUUUUCUUCCUCCUUUCCCUUCCACCCGCGUCGCGCCCUCGAUCCUCCCCGAAUUCCUGCAAGAUCUUUGGAGAUACGGCUCGACCCCGGAUCUUUGGAGCUCGGGUUUUCCUCGCGCCGCUUCUGCUUAGGUUUUCGCCUCCGGGUCCUCUUCUUUCAUUUCUAGGGUUUGUGCGGUUAAUGCGCGUUGGGGCUCUUUGCGCUUUUGGUCGGCCGCCCGAGUUCCACGGCAUUGGAGGAAUAUCGCCCUGGGAAGUGGCCUCUGCUGACGGUCGGUGGGUCAGUCGAGUUUAGGGUGUGGGGCCAUCGCGCUCGAGGGGGAAGUCGAAGUCAUCUCUUUCUGUUGUGGAUUAAGUUUUGGUUCGCUGUUCUGUUCUUUUGGCCCUCGCGGCAGUCGGAGCGAAUUUGAGAGGACGGUGUUACCUUCUGAUUUUCUUGAAUUACCAAGUGGAAUAGUGGAAGCUUGAAUCCUUCAAGAGAAGAGGCCCAUCGGACCACGGUUGUGGAUGAUAAUCGUUGUUUUCGUCUUCAGAUUCUGAUUUUUUGGUGUUGUGGCGAAAAGAUUUAUCUUCGCUGUUUCUGUUGUCAUUGUGGCUCUUUCUAUUUUCACUUUUCUGGUGCAUGUCUAUCUGCUAUUGCACUCAUCUCAUCAGUUGUGCUUGUCUAGAGAGUAUUCUUUCGCGUUUUCUGCAUUGGAAGAGGGGAAUAAGGAAGUUCUUUAAGGAGGCAUCGGGUACUGACUGUAGGAUAGCUUUUCAUGGGUGAUCAUGGAGGACGGGAAUGGCUUGGUAGCAUACUUCCCAGUGGCCUUUUGCCCAGGGAAACAACCAAUGUGACCCAAGUGCUUGAUGCAGACAGAUGGACUAAGGCAGAGGAACAAACUUCAGAGCUGAUUGCCCGAAUUCAGCCAAAUCAAUCAUCUGAGGAGCGGAGAAAUGCUGUAGCCGACUAUGUCCAGCGGCUUAUCGCAAAUUGCCUCUCCUGUCGGGUUUUCACAUUUGGGUCGGUGCCUCUCAAGACUUAUUUACCUGAUGGAGACAUUGAUUUGACCGCAUUCAGUGAUAAUGAAAAUUUGAAGGAUACAUGGGCUACUGCAGUUUGCGGUGUAUUAGAAAAUGAAGGAAAGAGUGAGAAUGCUGAAUUUCGUGUAAAAGAAGUUAAAUACAUCCAAGCAGAGGUAAAGCUCAUAAAAUGUCUUGUUGAAAAUAUUGUUGUGGACAUUUCUUUCAAUCAGGUUGGUGGCUUAUGCACACUUUGUUUCCUUGAAGAGAUGGACAAAGCGAUAAAUCAAAACCAUCUAUUCAAGCGGAGUAUUAUAUUAAUUAAAGCUUGGUGUUAUUAUGAAAGUCGUAUUCUCGGUGCUCAUCAUGGACUUAUAUCUACAUAUGCCUUGGAGACUUUGGUUCUUUACAUAUUUCAUAUCUUCAAUAAUUCAUUUGCUGGCCCACUUGAGGUCUUGUUUCGUUUUCUUGAAUUUUUUAGCAACUUUGAUUGGGAUAACUAUUGUGUUAGUCUCUGGGGACCAGUUCCUAUCAGAUCACUUCCAGAUAUGACUGCGGAACCUCCUAGAAAGGAUAAUGGUAAUUUGUUGUUUAGUAAAGGCUAUCUUGACAACCGAACUGCAGUGUAUUCUGUUACACCAGGUGGUCAAGAAAAUCAGAGCCAUCCUUUUGUUGCAAAACAUUUCAAUGUUGUCGACCCGUUACGCACAAACAACAAUCUUGGACGCAGUGUGAGCAAAGGUAAUUUCUUCAGGAUACGUAGUGCUUUUGCAUAUGGGGCCAAAAGACUGGCCAGAUUACUUGAAUGUCCAAAAGAUGAGAUAAUCACUGAAGUGAAUCAAUUUUUUAUAAACACAUGGAAAAGACAUGGGAUUGGUGAUCGACCUGAUGCUCCUAGCUUAGAUUUAUGGCACUUGCAACCACCGAAAACUGAUCCUAUUAAGCAAUCAAACAACUUCAAAAGCACUACAAGUGUCAAGAAGAAUUUUCAAAAUGGUGUAUUGCAGGUUGGUGACGAGCAUCUGGCUGAAACUGGUUACAAUUUUCAUAGUUCCAUCUCUAAAAUCUUUAGCGACAAUCAGAACCUAUUUAGAUCAAAUAAACAAUCUGCAGUUUCUCAUGUGGAGAGCCAAACAAAUUACAGCAAGCAGGUCAAUACGAGAUUCAGUAAUCAGCUGGAGAGAAGCUAUUACUCUAGUGGAUCUGUUCAAAGUGACAAAGACCAGAAAAUAUUAAAACCUAAUUACUUUUUCAAUGACAGGGAAGAACAGGUUAAAUUUCAUUUUGGAAGGACGAGAUCUAGUCCUGAACUGACAGAGACAUUUUUUAAUUUGUCUCAGAAAAGGCAUGGCAGAUCAAUAGAAACAGUGAAGGUUCAGAAUCGUGCAAAGUUUGAUUCUGAUAUCAGACGAAAGAACUUGGGCUCUGAUAUUACAGGCAGUCACAGUUCAAAGUCUUCUCUUGAUGAUAAUAUAUCAAUGAGACAGACUUCGUCUCAAAAGAAUCUUGAAGUUGCUUCUGGUGCAAUUAGUCUUUCAAAUAGCCAUCAGGGUGAUUUUGGCUUUGGUAACAUGGUGGAGGAGCUUGCUUCUGUUUCAGAGACAUUGCAGAUGCAACAGGAAGAACAGGAUUUGGUGAAUAUGAUGGGAUCUUCCAACAUUAACAGUUUUAGUGGGCAGGUUCAAUUGCCAAUGCAUCUAUCUCCUUUUCAUCUGCCCCUAACAUAUUCAACAUCUGUGGGUUAUUUCAAGGGAAAUAUGGCUGGAGUUGUACCCUCGAAUCUAUCUAUACUUGGGCCUCCCUAUGGACCCAACAUCCAGUUUGGUCCAGGUCUUGUUUCCUUCCCUCUUUCCAGUUACUUCCAUGCUGCCGCAUUUGGUUCGAAUGCAGAUGAUGCCACAUAUGUUAAUAAUGGUUCUUCCAUGAUGGAAGUCAGCUCAGAGGAUAAUGAUUGUGGCAAGUUGCGUGAAGAUGAUGUUGUACUCUCCAGAGAGUUUGAGCCUGAUGAAAGUGGUCCACAGAUUAUUCAUGCUGAUGACAAGCAACAGAAGUUAGACGGUAGCUUAACCUCAAGUCUUGCAGCAAGUGGCAUUGGGUCUGGUUCAUCACCCCGGGGACAGUUGGGUAGAGAAAACAGAAGUUCGACUAAAGAAGAUUAUAAUAGUUCCUUCCAAGGUAAAACAAGUAGAGGAGGUGAUUUCCAGAGUUCAAACCCGAGGUUCUUCCCUCUGUCGCAGGCAAGUUCUUCCAGAACCAGACCUGCAUCAGAAAAUCUGAGGGAUAGAUCAGCUGCAAAUAUCUCAAAGUCAGCAAGGGACAAAUGGGGGAGAAAACCAGUGUCUCCUUCAAUUUCAACUUCCUCUUUUGGAAAAGAAAACAGUCGGUUGCAAUUUGAGGGUUCAUCUGACCCUGUCUUUUCGAAGGUAGAAGAUGAUAUUUCAGGCUGGAUUCCUCUGUCAACCAUGGGAAACAAUAUGUCUGAAAGAAUUACAGAAUCUUCAUCUUCAGCUUCCUCACAUGUGAUGAGCCAUCAUCCACCUGGCUGGGAAUCAGCACAAAAUCAAUUGGAUCCACGGACCCCAACUGCACCGGUGCUUGUUGGCACUUCCCAGCAGAGGGGUGUGGAUUAUUCCAAGCUUCUGCCUAUGGCAUUUGUUGCGACCGGUCCACCAGUUCCAUACUUGAUGUUUCCUUAUGGUAAUUUCACAUCUAAUACAGGAAAACCUGAUGAAUAUGCAAGACAAUUUGAUAGAGAGGAAGAAUCAGAUCAGUUUGAUGUAAGCACUGCUGGUCAGAACAUCGAUUUAGUGGAUAGCUUUGUCCAGUCUGAGGCUUUCGUUAACCAAACUGUUUCAAGAGAUUAUGCACCUGAAACCUCUGAGGAGCCUAGUUCUGACAUUCUGAACAGUGAUCUAAAUGACCAUUGGCAGAAUCUGAUAUAUGGACGGUACUGCCAAAACUCCAAUCACGGACCUUUUGUGUACUCUUCCCCUGUUGCAGGGCAACCGAUUUAUCUUCCCAGUCAUCAUCUGUGGGAUGGUCCUGGCAGACCACUUGCAGCAAAUCUGAACUAUAUACCUAUCAUGGGUCAUGGUCCUCGACUUGUGCCUAUGAUGCCUCUUCAAACUGGUCCUGAUCAGGCUCCUGGUGUCUUCCAGCGUCAUGUAGAUGGAGCACCAAGAUAUCGUGGUGGUACUGGCACCUAUCUACCAAAUCCUGUUGAUUGACAGAUUAGGUUAGCUAACCUAUAGAAUUGCUAUCCCGGCUUUGUGAAAAAGGCUCGUCCAUCCGACAUAAUUAUCAGCGUCUUAUUGGUACAAAUUUCUGUUGAUUCUAAUAGCAGCAGCAGCAGCAGCAGCAGCAGCAGCAUAUUUGAAUAGUGUUCCUCAAAACACACUGUUACAUCCUCCCCCAUCAGUGUUGUAUUGGUUUGAUCCGGGAGCUGUACACAGGACACAUCCUCGUUUGAGCUAACGUCACAUGUUAUUACAAGUAAAUUACCAAAUGGAACAGGUAAAAAAAAAAAGGUCAAACUUUUCUCAAUUUUUUUAAAGAAAUUGUUACUGCUACUUAAUCUCCUCCAGCCCUCUUCUUCAACGUUGCAAUAAACUCGUCUCUUUCUUCCUGUGUCAUUCCUUGUGUGGAGCAGUCUCCCACGCCCCACUCUGCACCUCUCAAGCAGUACUUAUCUUGAAGCUCUCUUUGAUUCCUGAAAACAUUCGAGGAGCAAAGUCUGUUACUGUGGAUUUGUUUGGAAUUGCACUAGUUUUCGUGUAGGAGACUACUAAUCUGGUCAUGAAUUUUCCUUCACCAUGCAUUUAUUUCACUUGGUUUGUAAUCUUUAGAUGCUUUUUGAAGUCAUAUUUUUAACAGGCAAAAAAUAAGCUAGCAACGGAAAGAGAUCAUACACAAGUUUCUUCAAAUGUCUGUGAUGGAGUCCUCACAAGAGUAGAAUAAGAGAUGUAUAUCUCAAAUCUAUAUAAACUCUUCAAUGUAGUAGACUAAAGCUAUCUGAAGCACAGAUACUUCAUUACCUACCAUCA
Molecule: RNA transcript, 5103 nt
Organism: Musa acuminata AAA Group (dessert banana)
Lineage: Eukaryota; Viridiplantae; Streptophyta; Magnoliopsida; Zingiberales; Musaceae
Exons: 9
Source: RefSeq, a predicted model, not a curated record